This 253-nucleotide ribosomal RNA is filed under the name uncultured bacterium. Its description in RNAcentral is "partial 16S ribosomal RNA". It matches the Rfam family "Bacterial small subunit ribosomal RNA", at positions 524 to 776 of the family's 1533-position model. The record is from RNAcentral.
UACGUAGGGGGCUAGCGUUGUCCGGAAUCAUUGGGCGUAAAGCGCGUGUAGGCGGUUCGGUAAGUCCGCUGUGAAAGUCGGGGGCUCAACCCUCGAAUGCCGGUGGAUACUGUCGGACUAGAGUACGGAAGAGGCGAGUGGAAUUCCUGGUGUAGCGGUGAAAUGCGCAGAUAUCAGGAGGAACACCAAUUGCGAAGGCAGCUCGCUGGGCCACUACUGACGCUGAGAAGCGAAAGCAUGGGGAGCGAACAGG